RNAcentral lists this ribosomal RNA (725 nucleotides) under uncultured bacterium. RNAcentral describes it as "bacterial SSU rRNA". It matches the Rfam family "Bacterial small subunit ribosomal RNA", at positions 60 to 771 of the family's 1533-position model. The record is from RNAcentral.
AGUCGUGCGCGACGGGACUUCGGUCCCUAGUAGAGCGGCGAACGGGUGAGUAACACGUGGGUAACCUGCCUGGGAGUGGGGGAUAACCUGGGGAAACUCGGGCUAAUACCGCAUACGUUCCCGGAGCUACGGCUUCGGGAGGAAAGAUGGCCUCUGCUUGCAAGCUAUCUCUCCCAGAGGGGCCCGCGGCUGAUUAGCUAGUUGGUGGGGUAACGGCCCACCAAGGCGACGAUCAGUAGCCGGCCUGAGAGGGUGAUCGGCCACACUGGAACUGAGACACGGUCCAGACUCCUACGGGAGGCAGCAGUGGGGAAUAUUGGACAAUGGGGGAAACCCUGAUCCAGCAACGCCGCGUGGGGGAUGAAGGUCUUCGGAUUGUAAACCCCUGUUGAGAGGGACGAAGGUUUGCGGGCAAACAGUCCGUAAACUUGACGGUACCUCGAGAGGAAGCCCCGGCUAACUCUGUGCCAGCAGCCGCGGUAAUACAGAGGGGGCGAGCGUUAUUCGGAAUUAUUGGGCGUAAAGGGCGCGUAGGCGGCCGCGUAAGUCUCGGGUGAAAUCCCUCGGCUCAACCGAGGAACUGCCCUGGAAACUGCGUGGCUCGAGGCCGGGAGAGGAUGGUGGAAUUCCCAGUGUAGCGGUGAAAUGCGUAGAUAUUGGGAGGACACCGGUGGCGAAGGCGGCCUCUGGACCGGUCUGACGCUGAGCGCGAAGCGUGGGAGCAA